RNAcentral lists this ribosomal RNA (463 nucleotides) under Allobilharzia visceralis. RNAcentral's name for it is "partial internal transcribed spacer 2". The stretch from base 1 to 113 matches the Rfam family "5.8S ribosomal RNA", at positions 41 to 154 of the family's 154-position model. The record is from RNAcentral. Lineage: Eukaryota; Metazoa; Platyhelminthes; Trematoda; Strigeidida; Schistosomatidae.
GAGCGCAGCCAACUGUGUGAAUUAAUGUGAACUGCAUACUGCUUUGAACAUCGACAUCUUGAACGCAUAUUGCGGCUACGGGAUAUCCUGUGGCCACGUCUGUCCGAGGGUCGGCUUUUCAUCUAUCACGACGCACUUUAAGUCGUGGAUUGGGCGAGUGCCUGCCGGCGUAUACCCGUAUAUCAACGCGGGUUGCUGGUCAAAGGCUCCGUCCGAAUUUGUCCGGCCACAGCCUAGUCUGGUGUAGAACUUCUGAUUGAGUCCCCACGGUGGGUUGUGCUCGAGUCGUGGCUUAAUGAUAUACACAUAUACAGAUAUACAAACGCUCGAGAGUACAUGACCUAUCGUGAAUACACACGUAUAUAUAUAAAUGAAAGGCUCUAUUGGAGGUCUAUACAUAGUCUAUGGUUGCACCGAGGGUGUGUUAUACACAUUAUCAAUCUUACCCUGACCUCGGAUCAGA